Molecule: long non-coding RNA, 1109 nt
Filed under: Macaca mulatta (Rhesus monkey)
Lineage: Eukaryota; Metazoa; Chordata; Mammalia; Primates; Cercopithecidae
Description: lncRNA (ENSMMUG00000065048.1)
Source: RNAcentral
AUGUGGACGUGGCUGGAGAGAGAUCCUCCAAGAAGUGGUAUCAAGUCUGUGUGUCUCUUUGAGAGCACCAUCUUCAGAAAGAGCAACUCAAUCAGUUUUUUGGACUCUGACCCACCAAAUAAUCAUGACUUUCUUUGUGUGUAUGCAUGUGGCAGGUGUUCAUUGGCACUCAUCCAAUAAACAUAAUGGAGUUGGGGGACAUUCAUUGAAAACUAUAAAGCAGUGAAUUGAACAUAUUGAAGUAGGUAUGAAGUCCAUCAAUCUCACUGAGCUUUCAUUGCCUUUAAAAUGCAUUCCCCUGACUCUUUUCACUUUUCUAAGGGUAAUGGCACUGUUUUGUUACUCUGUUCACCUAAAUAGAGCUGUCUUAAUGAGUGAAUUAAAAGGCUUUCUUUAAGAUGGUUAAUAUAAAUGGCCUCUCAAUUAAAUGCUUCUUUUCUUCUGAACCUCCAUCAACUUAUUCAAGCACUUCUGAAAGGCCAUUGAAGUCAUCCUUGAGGUCCCCAGGCUAAGUGGUUACAGAAAUGACAAGGUGUGUGCCUUUCUGAUACCUUACCCUCUGCUUGAUUUAUGUCUUUUUAUGGAAGUGGUAGGCAAGUCGAAAACAUCACCAAUGGAUGGUUCUAUUGGUGGACUGGUAAAAUAUCCAGAUUAUCAGUUUCUAAUAAUUUUGUGAUCAUGUGUUCUGUGGUGGGUUGAAUAGUGCCUCCUAAAAAGAAAUAUCCAAAUUUGGCUGAGUGUGGUGGCUUGCACCUGUAAUCCCAGAACUUUGGGAGGCUGAGAUGAGUGGAUCACUUGAGGCCAGGAGUUCGAGACUAGCCUGGCCAACGUGGUGAAACCCUGUCUCUACUAAAAAUAUAAAAAUUAGCUGGGCAUGGUGGUGCAUGCCUGCAGUCCCUGCUACUCAGGAGACUGAGGCAUGAGAAUCAUUUGGACCCUGGAGGUGGAGUUUGCAGUGAACUGAGAUUGUGCCAUUGAAUUCCAGCCUCAGCAACAGAGUAAGACUCUCUCUCAAAAAAGAAAAAAAAAAAAGAAAGAAAAAAGGAAUAUCCUAAUUCUAACACUCAUCCAUAUUGAAUGUGACCUUACUUGGGAUCUUGGCAGAUGCU